This 72-nucleotide transfer RNA is filed under the name Linnemannia hyalina. RNAcentral describes it as "tRNA-Phe". Lineage: Eukaryota; Fungi; Mortierellomycota; Mortierellomycetes; Mortierellales; Mortierellaceae. The record is from RNAcentral.
UCGGCCUUAGCUCAGUCGGGAGAGCGUCUUACUGAACUUAGAAGGUCGUGUGUUCGACCCACACAGGCCGUA